RNAcentral lists this RNase P RNA (431 nucleotides) under Actinomycetota bacterium. RNAcentral's name for it is "RNase P RNA component class A". It matches the Rfam family "Bacterial RNase P class A". Rfam says of the family: Ribonuclease P (RNase P) is a ubiquitous endoribonuclease, found in archaea, bacteria and eukarya as well as chloroplasts and mitochondria. Its best characterised activity is the generation of mature 5'-ends of tRNAs by cleaving the 5'-leader elements of precursor-tRNAs. Lineage: Bacteria; Bacillati; Actinomycetota. The record is from RNAcentral.
UGAGUUGGUCGGGUGGCCGCGGCACGGGUGGAGGCGUGAACGAUCUAUUCGUGCGCGACUCCUCUACCGUGUCGAGGAAGGUCGGGGCUCCGCAGGGCAGGGUGCUGGUUAACUGCCAGUCGAGGUGACUCGCAGGAAAGUGCCACAGAGAAUAGACCGCCGAUGGCAUGCGCUUGUCGCAUGAUCAGGCAAGGGUGAAACGGUGCGGCAAGAGCGCACCAGCGACCAGGGUGACCUGGCGGCUAGGUAAACCCCACCCGGAGCAAGGCCAGACAGGAGAUACGGGUCGCCCGCCCGGCCUCAACGCAUUGCGACAAGCGUGCACAAGCUUUGAGGCAGUCUCCGGGUAGGCCGCUUAGAUGGAUGGCCACCUAUCCGCCGCCGGGAACGGCGGCGGUGGACAGAACCCCGCCUACAGACCAGCUCACCAU